AGUCGUAACAAGGUAACCGUAGGUGAACCUGCGGUUGGAUCAUUACCAAUCUCGUCGCGCAAGCGACACUACACCUGUGCACAUUGUAUUUGUUUCUGGGUGGUUGUCUCUGAGACGAUUGCCCAACCAAACGUAUUGUAGACUGAACAAAAUAUAAAAGAAAUAACUUUUGACAACGGAUCUCUAGGCUCUCGCAACGAUGAAGAACGCAGCGAAAUGCGAUACGUAGUGUGAAUUGCAGAAUUCGUGAAUCAUCAAAUCUUUGAACGCACCUUGCACUCCAUUUGGAGUAUGCCUGUUUGAGAAUCUACCAACUCUUUGCCUGUGGGCAAGAAGUGAGCCAUUUCUGCGGAAAGGCUUUGAAAGCAUGUCUCGGCUUUUCGAUACGGAUGUUGAAUGGUUACGGCCUCCUCUUUCCGGACGAAGGGUAGAGAAGAUGUAAUCUGUUUUAUGGUCUCAAAUCAGGUAGGAAGACCCGCUGAACUUAAGCAUAUCAAUAAGCGGAGGAAAAGAAACUAACAAGGAUUCCCCUAGUAACGGCGAGUGAAGCGGGAAGAGCUCAAAUUUGAAAUCCCACCUCGGUGUGAAUUGUAGUUUAGAGAAGCGUUUUCGGGGGGUGGCCAGACACAAGUUCUUUGGAACGAGGCAUCGUAGAGGGUGAGAAUCCCGUGUACGGUCUGGCAGGAACCUAUGUGAUACGUUUUCCAAGAGUCGGUUUGUUUGGGAAUGCAGACCAAAAUGGGUGGUAAAUACCAUCUAAAGCUAAAUAUUGGCGAGAGACCGAUAGCGAACAAGUACCGUGAGGGAAAGAUGAAAAGAACUUUGAAAAGAGAGUUAAAAGUACGUGAAAUUGUCAAAAGGGAAACGCUUGAAACCAGUAGUGCAGAGGUCUUUGGGCCUUGGCAAGUCAGCAUCAGUUUGGUUUGGGCAAAGAGGGCAGUGGAACGUAGCCUCCGGGUGUUAUAGCCGCUGUCUGGGGCCUGGGCUGGACUGAGGACUGCAGCGUUUGUUGGGGCAACCACACUAACGCUUUGGAUGCUGACGAAGUGGUUUUAAUCGACC
This 1062-nucleotide ribosomal RNA is filed under the name uncultured fungus. RNAcentral describes it as "eukaryotic LSU rRNA". The stretch from base 452 to 1062 matches the Rfam family "Eukaryotic large subunit ribosomal RNA", at positions 1 to 649 of the family's 3401-position model. The record is from RNAcentral. Lineage: Eukaryota; Fungi.